GGAACUCUGGAGAAUCCCAUUAAAUUGGGUGCCGAAGGUGAAAGUAGCAUAGCUAUGAAUCUCUCAGGCAAAAGGACAGUGAUU
RNAcentral lists this non-coding RNA (84 nucleotides) under uncultured Peptoanaerobacter sp. RNAcentral describes it as "Glycine riboswitch". The stretch from base 7 to 79 matches the Rfam family "Glycine riboswitch aptamer", at positions 11 to 84 of the family's 94-position model. From Rfam's summary of the family: This family represents the bacterial glycine riboswitch. Glycine riboswitches usually consist of two metabolite-binding aptamers domains with similar structures in tandem. The aptamers cooperatively bind glycine to regulate the expression of downstream genes. The record is from RNAcentral. Lineage: Bacteria; Bacillati; Bacillota; Clostridia; Peptostreptococcales; Filifactoraceae.